Molecule: ribosomal RNA, 253 nt
Filed under: uncultured prokaryote
Description: partial 16S ribosomal RNA
Rfam family: Bacterial small subunit ribosomal RNA
Source: RNAcentral
UACGUAGGCAGCAAGCGUUGUUCGGAGUUACUGGGCGUAAAGGGUGCGUAGGCGGUCCUGUAAGUAUGGUGUGAAAUCUCCCGGCUUAACUGGGAGGGUGCGCUAUAAACUGCGGGACUAGAGUGUGGGAGAGGAAAGUGGAAUUCCUGGUGUAGCGGUGAAAUGCGUAGAUAUCAGGAGGAACACCAGUGGCGAAGGCGAGUCUCUGGACAUUUCCUGACGCUGAGGCACGAAAGCCAGGGGAGCAAACGGG